This 792-nucleotide ribosomal RNA is filed under the name uncultured bacterium. RNAcentral's name for it is "bacterial SSU rRNA". It matches the Rfam family "Bacterial small subunit ribosomal RNA", at positions 1 to 796 of the family's 1533-position model. The record is from RNAcentral.
UCGCCCUUAGAGUUUGAUCAUGGCUCAGAUUGAACGCUGGCGGAAUGCUUAACACAUGCAAGUCGAGCGGGGUGUAGCAAUACACCUAGCGGCGGACGGGUGAGGAAUACAUAGGAAUCUGCCUCAGAGCGGGGGACAGCCCGGGGAAACCCGGAUUAAUACCGCAUGAUGUCGCAAGACCAAAGUGGGGGACCGCAAGGCCCCACACUCUGAGAUGAGCCUAUGUCCGAUUAGCUAGUUGGCGGGGUAAUAGCCCACCAAGGCGACGAUCGGUAGCUGGUCUGAGAGGACGAUCAGCCACACCGGAACUGAGACACGGUCCGGACUCCUACGGGAGGCAGCAGUGGGGAAUAUUGGACAAUGGGCGCAAGCCUGAUCCAGCAAUUCCGCGUGGGUGAAGAAGGCCUUCGGGUUGUAAAGCCCUUUAAGUUGGGACAAAAAAAUCGGCGAUAACAUCGCCGGUCUUGAUGGUACCGACAGAAUAAGCACCGGCUAACUCUGUGCCAGCAGCCGCGGUAAUACAGAGGGUGCAAGCGUUAAUCGGAUUUACUGGGCGUAAAGCGUGCGCAGGAGGCUCGCUGAGUCGGAUGUGAAAUCCCUGGGCUCAACCCGGGAAUGGCAUUCGAUACUGGCGGGCUCGAGUUCGGUAGAGGGCGGCGGAAUUCCCGGUGUAGCGGUGAAAUGCGUAGAUAUCGGGAGGAACAUCGAUGGCGAAGGCAACCGCCUGGGCCUGAACUGACUCUGAGGCACGAAAGCGUGGGUAGCAAACAGGAUUAGAUACCCUGGUAGUCC